Colossoma macropomum (tambaqui) is the source of this 465-nucleotide long non-coding RNA. RefSeq lists it as uncharacterized. NCBI's taxonomy places the organism in Eukaryota, Metazoa, Chordata, Actinopteri, Characiformes, Serrasalmidae. The record is from RefSeq and is a predicted model, not a curated record. The transcript is spliced from 3 exons.
CACAGCGCUACUGUCCACAUUGGUCCAGAAGCUGACUGGAUUUGUCUGUGUGCCACAACAACAUACUGGCAGUGGUCAAAUAAUGUGCACAAGUUAAAAAACUGCAGUUCUGAAGUGGAACAACAAAGCCACAGCUCAUGAGAUGGAUUCUGCUGUGGUCGAUCACCUCAAGCAUGCCCCCUGCAGAGCUUUUAACUUUUUUUUUUCUUUUCUUGUUUGACUUCUCAGAAACUAAAAUGCAAGAUUUUGUCUUGUUAAAUAAUCACCUUGAUUUCCUUUACAUUAAAACAUUGAAAAUCAUGUACAAUACUGACACAGCUUAUGGUUCAAACGUUUGAAAAUUCUUUCUGAAUUGAUGCAUAGGAUCUUUGUCUUAGUCCUAACGAAGUUCAUGGUCCAGUUUUAUGUUCCACAAAUGAAAUUAAUAAUAACUACACGUUUUCAAUAAAGUUUCCAUUUAACAAA